GCGCGGCUGAAAGCACGGGCCACUCGUGCGCGCGUCACUCGGGGCUGUGCGUAGCGCGACGGUGUGUGCAGGAAACAAGCAGGAAAUACCCUAAAAUAGAAUUAAGCGCCACGUUGCGGGCCGCGGACGUCGCGAGUGCUGUGGGAAUGUGGGCUAAGGUGGAGAGUUAUGGUGGCGCGUGUUACAGGCCCAGGGGUCAGGAGAAGCCUAAUCGUGGAGGCGGCAUCUGAGGAGGGUCUUGAACGCUGGGCAGGCUUUUGCCUGACGGAGAUGGAGGAAGCAAGUGCUGUCUGAUGGAGGAAACAGGGCGGAGGCGUGGAGGGAGCCGUGCAGCGCUGGUGUGAGGAGCAGCGAGCAGGCCAGGCCUGUAAAGCAGAGUGAUGGGAACCUGGAUGGAGAGGGCAAGUCGGGGUCCUGUGGUCGCUGAAGAAUUUGAAAUCAGUAAACAGGUGAGAGGGAUCAAUCGCAAGAGCAUGGGGUGAAACGAGGCGUCGUCCACGGUGAUUCCUCUGCAGCGGUGGGUAUUAUUAAUCGCGUAUGUGACGCCAGAACCACCCCACUCAAGCUGUGGCUCUUGCCCUAAAGUAGAAAACAGAGACCAGUUGGGUUCCAAGCAUCCACGAAGAUCUUAUUAAACUCGUGAUCCCUGGUGGCACCAUCGACUCAGGACUGGCCCAUCUCAAACCUGACUCAGAAACAAAACCGUCACAGUGUGCAGAGAUGAGCGUCCUUGCCCGCUAUCAUAACGUAUUUUCCGGUGUUUUCACAGUGCUGCGUUUCCUAAUCCCCACUCCACGGCAAUCCACAUGCCGUGAUGCCCGGAGGCAUUAGCAAGGAGACACACAGGGGCUCUUCACGUUGGCUUUCCAGGGUUUUGAUGAAAAUAUCAACUUCCUCAUCUCUUAUAUUGUGGUUAGUAAUAGUAUCAUUUAGGGUUGAAGAAUUAGAUGGUACGAAUUAUAUAGGGUGUUUAUUAUAACCUACAUGGAAAAUGCCUAGGAGAUGUUAGCUAUCCUCAUCACCAACAUCGUUACUUGAUGGUUAUAAUCAGACAGGAAGGCCGACACCAAGAAAAUGGAUACAUGCUCUGGGGGAAUGAAUGUGGAGAGAUCAGAAAGUCAAGAACAAAGCCAUACAACAUGUCUACAGUAAAGGGAUAGAGAAAAGAGAGUCUAUAAAAGAAGAAGUGAAACAGAGUUAGAGUAAAAUUUUAGAAAUCAAAGCUCAGGAGAAUUUCCAGAAAGGGUAAUAUUUAAUAUCGUAGAAGUUUAGGAGCACAAGAUGGAAAAAAAGGCCUUUGGGUAACUGACAUUGAGGCAGUCUUUGGGGAAGCUCCAUUUCUGAUAGAGAAGUAGAAAGCUUGAUGCAGCGACUAGGUGAAGAAGCCCUGGCUGCUCGCAUGGGGAAAUAAAUAAGGGAUGGAAUAUGCCAUAUUUCUGGGUUUCUUUCUUUCUUGCUCAGCCUCUGUAUAUGCACAGAGUUUGGUGAAAACUUACAAAAAAUAAAAAUGAAAC
Molecule: long non-coding RNA, 1514 nt
Filed under: Macaca fascicularis (crab-eating macaque)
Lineage: Eukaryota; Metazoa; Chordata; Mammalia; Primates; Cercopithecidae
Description: lncRNA (ENSMFAG00000051472.1)
Source: RNAcentral